CGCGCAUGCGCCCGAGCCCCGCCCUGAGCUCGCCGCCCCAGGGAAGCUUCUGGCCCCUUGUCCCCCACACUACCGGCAGGAGGGACAGCGGGGAGACCUGGACGGGGAGAAGUUGUCGCGAGGAAGGUGGUGGAGAGCCGCGCAGAGACGCUCACUGCGUGAAGGCCUGCAAGAAAGGAGUGCACCACUUAGAAGUCCAGAGGUGAUGUCCAAUGUGUAACCCAAGAAGGUUCCCAAUGAACACUGAAAUACAGAAGAGGAGCUGAGCACAGAGAAGCUCAUGCAAGUUCCCAGGGCUGCCUAGCUAGUGAAGGUGGGGGAGCAAAGAUGUAACUCAAUGUCUGGCCAAACCUGAAGGCCA
RNAcentral lists this long non-coding RNA (361 nucleotides) under Fukomys damarensis (Damara mole-rat). RNAcentral describes it as "lncRNA (ENSFDAG00000021713.1)". Lineage: Eukaryota; Metazoa; Chordata; Mammalia; Rodentia; Bathyergidae. The record is from RNAcentral.